This 494-nucleotide ribosomal RNA is filed under the name uncultured bacterium. RNAcentral's name for it is "partial 16S ribosomal RNA". It matches the Rfam family "Bacterial small subunit ribosomal RNA", at positions 28 to 507 of the family's 1533-position model. The record is from RNAcentral.
GACGAGCGCUGGCGGCGUGCUUAACACAUGCAAGUCGAACGGUGAAGCGCCUUCCUUUUUGGUGGGUGUGGAUGAGUGGCGAACGGGUGAGUAACACGUGAGUAGCCUGCCCCCUUCUUCUGGAUAACCGCAUGAAAGUUUGGCUAAUACGGGAUAUUCUGGGUCUGUCGCAUGAUGGGUCUGGGAAAGAUAUUGUUUCGGUGGGGGAUGGGCGCGCGGCCUAUCAGGUUGUUGGUGGGGUGAUGGCCUACCAAGGCGGUGACGGGUAGCCGGCCUGAGAGGGUGGACGGUCACACUGGGAAUGAGACACGGCCCAGACUCCUACGGGAGGCAGCAGUGGGGAAUAUUGCACAAUGGGCGCAAGCCUGAUGCAGCGACGCCGCGUGAGGGAUGGAGGCCUUCGGGUUGUGAACCUCUUUCGCCAGUGAAGCAGGCCUGCCUCGUUUGUGGGUGGGUUGACGGUAGCUGGAUAAGAAGCGCCGGCUAACUACGUG